AGAGUUUGAUCAUGGCUCAGAUUAAACGCUGGCGGCAUGCCUUACACAUGCAAGUCGAACGGCAGCACGGGGGCAACCUUGGUGGCGAGUGGCGAACGGGUGAGUAAAGCAUCGGAACGUGCCCUGGAGUGGGGGAUAACGUAGCGAAAGUUACGCUAAUACCGCAUAUUCUGUGAGCAGGAAAGCAGGGGAUCGCAAGACCUUGCGCUCUGGGAGCGGCCGAUGUCGGAUUAGCUAGUUGGUGGGGUAAAGGCCUACCAAGGCGACGAUCCGUAGCGGGUCUGAGAGGAUGAUCCGCCACACUGGGACUGAGACACGGCCCAGACUCCUACGGGAGGCAGCAGUGGGGAAUUUUGGACAAUGGGCGAAAGCCUGAUCCAGCCAUGCCGCGUGAGUGAAGAAGGCCUUCGGGUUGUAAAGCUCUUUCGGUGGGGAAGAAAUUGCAUAGGCUAAUACCCUGUGUAGAUGACGGUACCUGGAGAAGAAGCACCGGCUAACUACGUG
RNAcentral lists this ribosomal RNA (504 nucleotides) under uncultured bacterium. RNAcentral describes it as "bacterial SSU rRNA". It matches the Rfam family "Bacterial small subunit ribosomal RNA", at positions 8 to 507 of the family's 1533-position model. The record is from RNAcentral.